GAUGAACGCUGGCGGCGUGCCUAAUACAUGCAAGUCGAGCGAACAGACGAGGAGCUUGCUCCUCUGACGUUAGCGGCGGACGGGUGAGUAACACGUGGAUAACCUACCUAUAAGACUGGGAUAACUUCGGGAAACCGGAGCUAAUACCGGAUAAUAUAUUGAACCGCAUGGUUCAAUAGUGAAAGACGGUUUUGCUGUCACUUAUAGAUGGAUCCGCGCCGCAUUAGCUAGUUGGUAAGGUAACGGCUUACCAAGGCAACGAUGCGUAGCCGACCUGAGAGGGUGAUGAGCCACACUGGAACUGAGACACGGUCCAGACGCCUACGGGAGGCAGCAGUAGGGAAUCUUCCGCAAUGGGCGAAAGCCUGACGGAGCAACGCCGCGUGAGUGAUGAAGGUCUUCGGAUCGUAAAACUCUGUUAUUAGGGAAGAACAAAUGUGUAAGUAACUAUGCACGUCUUGACGGUACCUAAUCAGAAAGCCACGGCUAACUACGUG
This 497-nucleotide ribosomal RNA is filed under the name uncultured bacterium. RNAcentral's name for it is "partial 16S ribosomal RNA". It matches the Rfam family "Bacterial small subunit ribosomal RNA", at positions 28 to 507 of the family's 1533-position model. The record is from RNAcentral.